Non-coding RNA from Trichonephila inaurata madagascariensis, 73 nucleotides. The record is from the annotation of a GenBank genome assembly. NCBI's taxonomy places the organism in Eukaryota, Metazoa, Arthropoda, Arachnida, Araneae, Nephilidae.
GUCCCUGUAGCGCAAUGAAUAGCGUGUUGGACUUCUAAUCCAAAGGUCGUGGGUCGGAAUCCUAUUUGGGAUG